GAUGAACGCUGGCGGCGUGCCUAACACAUGCAAGUCGAGCGAACAGACGAGGAGCUUGCUCCUCUGACGUUAGCGGCGGACGGGUGAGUAACACGUGGAUAACCUACCUAUAAGACUGGGAUAACGUCGGGAAACCGGAGCUAAUACCAGAUAAUAUAUUGAACCGCACGGUUUAAUAGUGAAAGACGGUUUUACUGUCACCUAUAGACGGACCCGCGCCGCAUUAGCUAGUUGGUAAGGUAACGGCUUACCAAGGCAACGAUGCGUAGCCGACCUGAGAGGGUGAUCGGCCACACUGGAACUGAGACACGGUCCAGACUCCUACGGGAGGCAGCAGUAGGGAAUCUUCCGCAAUGGGCGAAAGCUUGACGGAGCAACGCCGCGUGAGUGAUGAAGGUCUUCGGAUCGUAAAACUCUGUUAUUAGGGAAGAACAAAUGUGUAAGUAACUAUGCACGUCUUGACGGUACCUAAUCAGAAAGCCACGGCUAACUACGUG
RNAcentral lists this ribosomal RNA (497 nucleotides) under uncultured bacterium. Its description in RNAcentral is "partial 16S ribosomal RNA". It matches the Rfam family "Bacterial small subunit ribosomal RNA", at positions 28 to 507 of the family's 1533-position model. The record is from RNAcentral.